UGCGUAGGUGGGCUAGUAAGUCCGUGGUGAAAUCCCCGAGCUUAACUUGGGAACUGCCAUUGAUACUAUUAGUCUUGAAUAUCGUGGAGGUAAGCGGAAUAUGUCAUGUAGCGGUGAAAUGCUUAGAUAUGACAUAGAACACCAAUUGCGAAGGCAGCUUGCUACACGGUCAUUGACACUGAGGCACGAAAGCGUGGGGAGCAAACAGGAUUAGAUACCCUGGUAGUCC
RNAcentral lists this ribosomal RNA (229 nucleotides) under uncultured bacterium. RNAcentral describes it as "partial 16S ribosomal RNA". It matches the Rfam family "Bacterial small subunit ribosomal RNA", at positions 568 to 796 of the family's 1533-position model. The record is from RNAcentral.